AACUCAGUCCCCUGGAGGAGCAGCAGGCACUGACAGGAGCAGACUCUCCUGGUCCACUGUAUUGUUUCUGAGUUUUUGAAUUUCUGAUUUGGGGUGGAGAUUAUGGCUCAGCAGCAGAACGCUUGUCCACCAUGCUUAGCCCUGGGUUGAUCUCUCUGAGGGAGGGGACGGACUUAGUCUCUGUCCCCCUGUUUCCACAUGAUUUUCCCUAGAUAUCCUUUUUUGUUGAUUUGAGUGUGCGAGAAGGGUGUGUGCCGGGUGCUUGCUAGAGAGAGCCCUCACCCGAGGAAGAGGACCUGGAGGGAGGCAGCAGCGGUUAAUGGGUAACCACCAGCUCUCGCCGGGACAAAAACUUUGAUCUGUAGCCUUUGGCUGCUUUCGGUUUGUGAAUGCUUGCGUCUCUGGCUGACUGCUCCAGAACACAGAUAACAGCAGAGAUAGCACAGUAAUAAGGAAAGGCCGGCCUUGAAUUCUCCAUGCAGUGAAGAAUGACUUUCGCUCCCGGGAUUCUAGCUGGUCUCCGGUGUCCUUUCCCCAGGUUUCCGGCAAGCUGGAGAAUGCAGGACUUUCUAUUCCGUGUUUUGUUCCAUAGGAGCCUUUCUCCAGCUGGACAGGAGGACCACAGGUUCAAAGCCUGCUUGGACUACCAAGUGAAUUCUAGGCCAGCCUGGGGGAGUUGGUGGGAUCCUCUGUCAAAACCAAACAAAAUGUGGGUGUGUAGUGCAGUGGCAGAGUCCUUGCUAAGGGUCACAAGGCCCCGGGUUCCAGCCCCAGGAUUAAGAACUAUGUGGACCAAAUAAACAGAAACCUUUCCCAUCCUAAGUCAAAGAUUUUCUUUUAAAAAUUAUUUUUUAAGUGUGUGUGUGUGUGUGU
Molecule: non-coding RNA, 873 nt
Organism: Peromyscus maniculatus bairdii (prairie deer mouse)
Lineage: Eukaryota; Metazoa; Chordata; Mammalia; Rodentia; Cricetidae
Source: RefSeq, a predicted model, not a curated record